UGAGUUGACUGAUGCCUGGCAGCCCC
Molecule: non-coding RNA, 26 nt
Filed under: Macaca fascicularis (crab-eating macaque)
Lineage: Eukaryota; Metazoa; Chordata; Mammalia; Primates; Cercopithecidae
Also listed under: 1 other name
Source: RNAcentral